RNAcentral lists this ribosomal RNA (433 nucleotides) under uncultured bacterium. RNAcentral's name for it is "bacterial SSU rRNA". It matches the Rfam family "Bacterial small subunit ribosomal RNA", at positions 957 to 1391 of the family's 1533-position model. The record is from RNAcentral.
GAACGCGAAGAACCUUACCAUCCCUUGACAUGGCAUGUUACCUCGGGAGACCGGGGAUCCUCUUCGGAGGCGUGCACACAGGUGCUGCAUGGCUGUCGUCAGCUCGUGUCGUGAGAUGCUGGGUUAAGUCCCGCAACGAGCGCAACCCACGUCCUUAGUUGCCAUCAUUCAGUUGGGCACUCUAGGGAGACUGCCGGUGAUAAGCCGCGAGGAAGGUGUGGAUGACGUCAAGUCCUCAUGGCCCUUACGGGAUGGGCUACACACGUGCUACAAUGGCGGUGACAGUGGGACGCGAAACCGCGAGGUCGAGCAAAUCCCCAAAAACCGUCUCAGUUCGGAUUGCACUCUGCAACUCGGGUGCAUGAAGGCGGAAUCGCUAGUAAUCGUGGAUCAGCACGCCACGGUGAAUACGUUCCCGGGUCUUGUACACACC